AGGACGAACGCUGGCGGCGUGCUUAACACAUGCAAGUCAUGGGGGCCCGCAAGGGCAACCGGCGAACGGGUGCGUAACACGUGAGCAAUCUGCCUAGAUGUGGGGGAUAGCCGGCCCAACGGCCGGGUAAUACCGCAUACGCUCUCCGAGUGGCAUCACUUGGUGAGGAAACCUCCGGGGCAUCUAGAGGAGCUCGCGGCCUAUCAGCUAGUUGGUGGGGUAAUGGCCUACCAAGGCAUUGACGGGUAGCUGGUCUGAGAGGAUGGCCAGCCACAUUGGGACUGAGAUACGGCCCAGACUCCGUACGGGAGGCAGCAGGUGGGGAAUAUUGCGCAAGUGGACCGAAAGGCUGACGCGAGGCGACGCCGGCGGUGGGGAUGGAAGCUAGUUUCGGUACGUACGUUAAACCCCGUUGUUCGCGUCGGACGAACAAGACGUAUUU
This 442-nucleotide ribosomal RNA is filed under the name uncultured soil bacterium. RNAcentral's name for it is "bacterial SSU rRNA". It matches the Rfam family "Bacterial small subunit ribosomal RNA", at positions 26 to 464 of the family's 1533-position model. The record is from RNAcentral.